GACGAACGCUGGCGGCAUGCCUUACACAUGCAAGUCGAACGGCAGCACGGGAGCAAUCCUGGUGGCGAGUGGCGAACGGGUGAGUAAUAUAUCGGAACGUGCCCAGUAGUGGGGGAUAACUGCUCGAAAGAGCAGCUAAUACCGCAUACGACCUGAGGGUGAAAGGGGGGAGUCGCAAGACCUCUCGCUAUUGGAGCGGCCGAUAUCAGAUUAGCUAGUUGGUGGGGUAAAGGGCCUACCAAGGCAACGAUCUGUAGUUGGUCUGAGAGGACGACCAGCCACACUGGGACUGAGACACGGCCCAGACUCCUACGGGAGGGCAGCAGUGGGGGAGUAUUGCACAAUGGGCGAAAGCCUGAUGCAGCAACGCCGCGUGAGGGAAGACGGUUUUCGGAUUGUAAACCUCUGUCCUUGGUGAAGAACAAAUGACGGUAGCCGAGGAGGAAGCCACGGCUAACUACGUG
This 464-nucleotide ribosomal RNA is filed under the name uncultured bacterium. RNAcentral describes it as "bacterial SSU rRNA". It matches the Rfam family "Bacterial small subunit ribosomal RNA", at positions 28 to 507 of the family's 1533-position model. The record is from RNAcentral.